RNAcentral lists this unclassified non-coding RNA (211 nucleotides) under Glomeraceae sp. Its description in RNAcentral is "partial contains 5.8S ribosomal RNA and internal transcribed spacer 2". The stretch from base 1 to 65 matches the Rfam family "5.8S ribosomal RNA", at positions 84 to 154 of the family's 154-position model. The record is from RNAcentral. Lineage: Eukaryota; Fungi; Glomeromycota; Glomeromycetes; Glomerales; Glomeraceae.
GUGAAUCAUCGAAUUUUUGAACGCAAAUUGCACUCCCUUCGGAGAGAAUGCCUGUUUGAGGGUCAGCCUAAAAAAUAUCGACAUCGUUGCUGUCUCGCGGUGGCGUUCGUCGGCCAUUGUAUUAUCUUAAAUCUUUGGAUUAAGCUACUUAACCUUUUCUUUACGAUUCCAUGAACGUUUCUAUGAUUUAUUUCUUUCCACGUUUAAGGUA